UUUUUAUUUAGUAUAUAAAAGAACUUUUUUGUUUGUGAUAGUUAAUUAGUACUGUUAAGGAAUUGGUGAAAUAAUUUAAAUAGAAUAUAAUUGUAAGUAUACUUAUUUUGUAGUACCUUUUGUAUCAGGGUUAAUCAAUUAGAUUAAUAUAUAUUUGAGUCUCGAUUUCAAAAGAGCUAAAUUACUAUUUUAUUUAAUGUGUAAUAAUUAUUAAUAAUAUAAUUUAGGAAAGAAAUUUUAUUCGUUUUUGAGGGUAUCUAGUUUUUUAAGAAUUAAAUUUAAUUUAUUUUUAUCUCGUAAAUAAUAUAUUAAAUUAUAUUUUAUGAAGAUAAAUUAAAGAAUAUAGGGGAUAAGCUCUAUGGAGUUCUAUAAAAAUUUUAUUAAUUAAUUUUUGUAGGGUUAAAAUUAUCCAUCAUUAGUAAUUGUGUUAUAAUUUAUAUUAAAAAAUUAUUAAUUUUAUUUUUUUUAGUAGCAUAUUAAAAUAUUAAAAUAAAUUUUUAACUUUAGGUAAUAAUGAUUAAAUUAGUAUAAAAUUUUGUUUAUGAUAUUAAUUAUUUUAUAAUAAGUUAAGGAACUCGGCAAUUACAGUUCUCGCCUGUUUAUCAAAAACAUGUCCUUUUGUAUUUAAUGGAAGGUCUGACCUGCCCAGUGAUGAGUUUAACGGCCGCGGUAUUUUGACCGUGCAAAGGUAGCAUAAUCAUUAGUCUUUUAAUAGAGGGCUGGAAUGAAAGGUUUGACGAGGAACUAACUGUCUCAACUUAUAUGUUUUAAAAUUUAAUUUUUUAGUUAAAAAGCUAAAAUUCUAUUGGAAGACGAGAAGACCCUAUAGAGCUUUAUAUAAAAUUAUUUAAUUGUUUAUAUAUUAAUAAUAUUAAAUAAUUUUGUGUUAUGUUGGGGUGACAAAAAUAUAUAAUUAACUUUUUUAUUUGAUUAACAUUGAUUUAUGAAUAUUAGAUCCAUUAUUAUUGAUUAUUAGACUAAGUUACCUUAGGGAUAACAGCGUAAUCCUCCCCCAGAGUUCAUAUUUACGGGAUGGGCUUGCGACCU
This 1047-nucleotide ribosomal RNA is filed under the name Allorrhizucha klingi. Its description in RNAcentral is "partial 16S ribosomal RNA". The stretch from base 562 to 762 matches the Rfam family "Bacterial large subunit ribosomal RNA", at positions 1700 to 2029 of the family's 2925-position model. Lineage: Eukaryota; Metazoa; Arthropoda; Insecta; Odonata; Libellulidae. The record is from RNAcentral.